UACGUAGGGUGCAAGCGUUGUCCGGAAUUAUUGGGCGUAAAGAGCUCGUAGGCGGUCUGUCGCGUCGGCUGUGAAAACCCGGAGCUCAACUCCGGGCCUGCAGUCGAUACGGGCAGACUGGAGUUCGGCAGGGGAGACUGGAAUUCCUGGUGUAGCGGUGAAAUGCGCAGAUAUCAGGAGGAACACCAAUAGCGAAGGCAGCUCGCUGGGACGUUACUGACACUGAGAUGCGAAAGCGUGGGGAGCAAACAGG
Molecule: ribosomal RNA, 253 nt
Filed under: uncultured bacterium
Lineage: Bacteria
Description: partial 16S ribosomal RNA
Rfam family: Bacterial small subunit ribosomal RNA
Source: RNAcentral